CAGAUCUCAGUUACAUAAGUAUGUCUUGUAUUUCACUUAAUUUUUGAAAGCAGCAGUAGUGAAAUACUGUUGUUCCCAUGGCGUGAGUAAAUGACAGCAAAUUUCAAGUAAAUAUGCCUUGAAGGAAGGGUGAAUCUCCAGUGUCUUGCUGUGGAAAUGUUGGAUAAUGAGCUGAAAUGUGAGUGAGAGGCAGCAAGGACACAGAGGAUGCUUCUCCUGGAGAGACCCAGUGUUUCAUGGCCAAGUGUGGGCUCUGAGCCAGGGGAAGAUCGGUAGCACUGAAGUGAUGACACUGGAGCCACAUGUCCCUCUCUGCACUGGAUAUAUGUGAAGAAGCUGUGUGAUGCCCUGGUUUUAUAUUGCAUGCAAUAAUGGAGCAAAAGAGACUUUUGUCAUGAAUAGCAGGUACCAGCUGAUGUUCCUGCAGACACUUAGCUCCUGUUUCCAACUUCCUAAAAUUGGCACCACUGAGGAACAUAUGCAGAAUAUUCUUCUUGCUCUGAAUUGUCUUCACUGCCACCUCCAAAAGGCAGGUUGACCUUGCAGCCUCUGCAGUGCAUUUUUGCCUCCCAUCCAUGCCAUCCUUGGGGAUAAGAAGAUGCUCCCACAGCCCUACUCCAUGCUGCAUCGGUGCCACUGCCACUCCAGGAGCAGGAGAUGUCCCAGCACAUGGGAUGCAGUGAAUGAGUCAGAGCUGUUGACUUUGCCCAGCAGAAAUGUUCCCAAAUCAAAUGUCUUCUUCCCCUCCUCCCCAAAACUCAUGAGCACCAUGUGAAAAGAUCCUCUGGUUACAUGCAUCUUGGGUUGGCUUUAAUAUUUUAGGAUGCACAUAGUUUAUUAUUCCAGGCAGAUCCAUAAUCUCUAGGGAUAGAAAUGUAACUAGAAGGAAAAAUGCGUUUGUAUGUGUGGGUGGACAUGUAAUCUCAGGCUUAUGGCCUUAAGAGGAAACAGUAAAUAGCGUAUGAAACUCCAUAAAAUGGUAGCUGUUGGAAGUUUUGCUCCUCAGGGAUUAUGUACCUGCCUAAAGAAGUAAAACUGUUACUUAAUAGGCCAAAUAGUACCUUGGUAAAAAUGAAACUGCCAGGUAUUACAUAUGGGCAGAAUAUGGUCCACCUUGUGUUCAGUACAGUUAAAGUUUACUGCUAGAAAAUGUAUUAUGAUAAACUUUCAGCAGUGGAUACUGUUCAUUAUUUGCAGAAGUUAUAAAAACAGAAGCUUUUUGCAAAAACAACAUGGGGCAAAUGCUAUUUUUCUUCAAUUGCAUAAGCUAAGCCCCCUUACCCCUCCCAAAAGGUAGUAGAUAAAUCAGAGUUGAAUAUAGAUGCAGUUGAACUACUCUAUUUAAGAACCUGCUAUACCAAUAAAUCAAUAUUUACUUGCUAUAUAAUAUGUAAAUGGUAUAUUCAUGGAUGUUGAGUAAGUUUCCCUAACUAAGGAAACUGUGCAACACGCUUAAGAACUUAGUAGCAAUGAUUAAAGUACAACCCUAAUAGCAUCAGUUGAGUAGAAAUGGUUUAACAGAAUAGCACAGGCUUUAUGUAGGGUUUUCUUUAAGCUGAUAUUUUUAGUCUUCAGACUUCAGUUACUCCUGCUGAAUUAAGAGAGCCUUCCAGAAUGUCUGAUUUAUUUGAAAUCUGCAAGCCUGACAUUAGCUUUUCAGCUAGUCCUCUGCCCUAUUGCAAACCUUACCUGUUUCAUUCAUUCGGCAAAUAUAGAGGGAAGAUAAAGCAUACAGGAUUUGGUCACGCUUUCAUAAAUUCAUGAAACAUGGGAUUUCUUGCUGUGAGAAAAACAGCUAAAUGAUUGCUGCUUUAUCUAGUAAAACAAAUGUGUCUUUCCCAACAGAGAUGGUAAUUUUAACUGAACACUUAUAGAUUUUUGCCACUAAAUACCUGACUUUCCAAAGAGCUCAGAUCCAUCCUAUUUCAGCAUUGAAAUGAAGCUAUUGUAGCAGUUGGCUUCCAGCUACUCUUCUGAAGAACUAGAUGCCCAAUUUAGAACUUCUUCCUGCCUGUCCCCCUACCCCCUUUCCCCCCAGUGUCUAAAUUGGGAUCCUUAGGUGCUGGACUUGUUCAAAGUUUGAAGCUAUUUGAAAGAAUCAUGGUAAGUUGCACUUGGGGAAUUGCUAAAAAGCCUGGUGUUAAUUAAAGUGAAAUGGCAGCCUUUUAAUGCUGCCAUUUUAGAAAGCAAGUAUCCACAAUUAGUUCUCUAAAUGCUUAUUUAGACACUCUCUUUUAAAUUGCAUGCAUAAAGAUGCAGAUACAGCACUCAUCCCGUACCCAUUUUAUAUUAUCAUUGCAUAAAAGCUAACAUGACUAAUACCAGCUAUCACUAAGAAAUAAUCUAUUUCCACUAAAUUGCUGCAGAACCUCUGUAUGGAGGCGUGGACACUAGGAGAAGCCUCGGGAGCCUGUGCACUGAUUCUCUUGUACUGUUGAGCAAACGAUAAAGAAUUUGAAAAAACACUGAUGCACUAACUUCUGGUGUAAAGACUCUUCUCUUCAUGGAAGUGACAAGACCUUCCUGACCUGUAAAGUUAAACCUGGUGAUCAGAUCUGGGCUAUCAAAACGGACCAGAGAUGAGAGGUUGCAGCAGAAAUGGAGGGUCUGCAAAGACAAGCAAUGAGAAUUGUUAGUGUUGUGGAAAGGUAUUUUUGUAUGUGUAAUUGGAAUUCUUUAUGGAAGGGGAAGAGGUAAAAAUGAGGGGAUGUUAGGAUAGUACACAGGAGUUCUCACUGAUAUUUUUGAUGCUAUGUUUUUUACAGUCUUCCAUGAUACAUAAACAAGAGGGAAAUCAGUGAAACGAAAAUAAUGCAAGUAAAAAUGGGUGAGUGGGAAAUUGUUUCCAAACUGAAAACCAGCAGACUACAGAAGUGGCACAGGCAGGGAUAUAAAUCUUCUGGCAUUGGGACCUCUUGGCAUGAAUGGGGAGAUUUUAAGAGAUGGCAUGUUAUUGUGUAACUGCCUCACAAGGGAUUUUCCCCUGAAGGAGCCUGUUCUGGUUAGUGCUGAGGGUGAGAUGGCCGACUGCACGCACUACUGCUCUCAGCCAUGUUGGCAGCUUGUGUGUUUGUUCUGCGGCCUUGACUCUUGAUAGCUUUGCCCUUAGUGUUAUUUAUCUGUUCCUUCCAGGAUAAACAUAGUAAGGAGCACUGAGUUUCUUUUAGGAACCUCCCAAUGUACAACAGGGUUCUGUGAAGCCUGCUGUGUUCUGACAAAUUCCUCCCUGUGUGCAUUGUGUCUUGAAAUUACUGGGGCCAGGAGAGGUUAUUAACAGCAUUGAGGAUGAUGAAAAAUUUUUCUUCAUUUGGAGUCUGAUGCAAUCUGUGACUUAACCCGAGCAUCCUAGGCUGCACCCUGCAGUAGGUUGCAGACGGGGAGAGCCACAUUUGAAGACGGGCAGGCUUCCAAGGUCUGGUGUUGGCUGUGCUGCCCCAGCUGCUUUUCCUCUUUGAAAGGGACCUCUAAGACCUGGGCAGUUUGUCUGUUGUUGGUAGUGUUUGCUUUAAAAUAUGUGGAAAUACACUGAGAGAUCCAUCCUAUUUAAGUUAAUCAAGUAGGUACUCAGACUGACAUCUCUUCAACUUAGCCCUGUUCCUCUGCUUCUCUGAAAAGAGCUGAGCUCCAGCUCAGAACUGCAAAAAAUCUGAAGUAGAUGAAAGUGUAAGAGAAAGAAGAGGGGAAAAUAGAGAGAAAAUGGCUUUUUAUAAUCAUCUAAUAACUUGGUUGAUUCUGGGGGUAUGGCUAUGGUAUUUUGUGACAGAGAUGUGCUUAGCUUGGAGGAGGAGGCAAAUACAUCAGGAGAAAGCCCGCCAGAGCAUAUAUGUUUGAUAUGAUCUGCAUAAUAACAUAGAUCUAGUGUACACAAAGAUGAUUUCAGCUGUCCCUCAUACAGAAAGGCAGCUGGAUUUUGGGACUAGGCCACCCACUGCCAGAAGAAAAAUGCUUGAAUCUUCAAUACCUUUGAUUCACGGGCUUUAGGAGGUGAGAAUCGUACUGUCACAGCAUGUGCCUGGGAAGCAUGUUAAAUUUCCUAUGCCUCAUCCUCUCCCCCUCUCCCACAGCCUGCUUCUAAAAAGUCUCAGCAGAAGAAACUGUUUCUGAUACCUCUACAUAAAUUGCCUGUUUUCCAUUUUGACAGGAGUUUCACUGGAGGAAAAAAAAAGUUCUUUUUCCCCUUGUCUCUGCAGCACCAAUGAUUUCUUACUUGUCCUUUUCCUGAAAUAUCUAAGUUAAUUUUGUAGCUAUUGAAGACUGCUGUGUAAAUGCAGCUUUAUAACCUUUAACCACAACACAACACCCUCCUUUCUGCAAUCUCCACCUCCUGUACCUAUUCUUGAAAACUGCCUGGAGCAAUGUUUCUGCCUCAUAAAUCUGAGCCUUUAAGAUAGGUAGCAUUGUAUAGCUGUUAUAGCUGAAGUAGUCUAUCUGACUGAUUUUUCUGAUAAUGUCUUUUUAUAUGUUGCCAGUAAACAGCUUUAUUUAUAAGAGACUACAGCAAUAGUAAAAAUCCAAACAGUGACAAAACUAUUACUGGCCAUGUUGGAAUUGCUACUCAUUUGGAGUUUAUCUUGAACUUCCAGUUUAUCUUUCUGCCGAUUAUUAUUUCAGUAUUUUCUACAUACAGACCACAAAGAGGAUUUUGGUCUUCCUCCGUCUAAAGUCCCACACCAUCAAUUAGUAUGGGAAGAUGGGUUCCUUAGUGGUGUUUGAAUCCAAGCAAACCUAAAAUGAAAAAUGUUUUACUGAUGUUUACACGUAAAUUCUGUGCCUGCAUAGAAAUUGAGUCUGCACCUGUAUGGAAAACAACCAGUAGCUUUUCAUGUGUGAAACUUGUAAAUCUAUCAGUUACACAAGCCAAAUUGUGAGGGGGGUAUGUUUUAUUGGUGUCUACAUUUAUUGUACCUUAUCUGCAGAAAGUGAAUCAUCUGAUACAAAAACAGCACUUCAGAGACCAACAUAUGCAGCUGAGCCCAGAUUUGCAGUAGGGAGCUGAUAGUCUCAAAGAUGGGGAAGAGUUUCCUUAGAAUAUAGCUGGAGCAAUAAUAUUGCAGAUCCAUUAUUUUCUAGCAGGUGAUUAAGAUAAAUAUAUUCAUAUUUAGCUACUCAGAUGUUAGGCACCUAGAAAGAGUCCUGUUUUUUCUACAUGGUAGCUCUGAGAGCUGUAUGUUUUUUGACACAUCUAAAAAUCAGGCUGCUCACAUCGAUGCCUAUGUUUAUUUCCAGACUUAACAUGUAGUUGGCUGAAUCGUACGAUAGUGGUGGAUAGUGACCCCUUCCCUUUGCAGAAGGAAGCAAGGCUGGUGUCAUAGCAAUUGGAGCAGGCAGCUCUGUGCAGGCACAUGGACUGAUGCUGUCAGUCCCAUAUGGAAAAAUAUGCUGUCACAGCUUUUGAGAAAUCCUGAUCUGAUUGAAGAAAGAGAGUCUAUCUCUGUGUGUAGUAUAAAGUACCUCUUCAGAGUUUUGUUGGCACAGAGCAGCUUGCUUUUUAAAGGAGACACAUUAGUCAUAGCCAUAGAGAGCAGAAAUGGCCACUUCAGGUUAAUGAGUAUAUGACAGCAAUGAAGUCAUGCAUGUGUGUUGGGGGAAAAUCUACCAUAAAGGGAUGCAGUGGAUGUAAAUAAACAUCCCUCACUAAAUAAACUGCAUAACUGUAUGAACAGAGUAUUUCCUAGUGUCCAUUUUACUUAAGGUGGAAAAAAAAUGGUUUGCUGUGUUUGUUUUGUGUGUGUGAUUUUUUUAUUUGGUUAGCGUGUUGUUUUUUUGUUUGUUUGUUUUAACAGUACCUUUGGAAUAUUGAUAUCGCUGACAGUUUGUCCCUUUCAAACUUCACAUCAUGGUACCAGUAUUUCAAAAUGAUUUUUGUCCUUUUGCUAAUUGUCGUUCCAAAAAACUUGUCCAGAACUGUAACAUUUCCUUUCUUAAAAGGCAGAUGCUCUGUCUUGGGUCAUGAUGUGCACAGUGCUGAAGUUUUCAGUGCAUGUGUAUUAAUAGCUUUGUUUAUGAGUAAGCUCAGAUGUUUCAGCAAUUGAGUCUAAAGACAAGCAUAAUGUUCAAAACAAAAGGGGUGGUGUUUACCUUACAAAUAUUUGCAGCCCAUUUUGAAACAAGAACAGUGGCAAUCUUUGGGCCAUUUUGGAUGGGUGCCUCCUGCUCCACCAAGCUCGGCCUCCUGCCCCCCACACAACUGGGCUCAAACAAAACAACCUAACCCAAACAAAAGAACCUAACUUAAACAACCAACAUAAACCAAAAAGACCCUGCCUAAACCCAAGAAUCUAAAAAAAAACAAAACCCAAAACUCUGGAACCUGAUGUGCCUAAACCAACCUAUAACGAACAACCUAAAAACCCUAAACGCAACCAUAUAAGCCAAACGAAACCAAAAAACCUAAACAAGCCUAAACUAACCUAAAGCAACCCCUGAAACCUAAAAACCACUGGCUAAUCCACCAUACCUACAAACAACUCAACCAAACCACCUAAACCAAGAUGAAGAGAAACACUUAAACCAACCUCAAUGAUGCAAAGCAAACCUACUUAAACCAGCCUACCUAAAGACACAUCCAUACGCCAACCUUCCGAUAAAGAACCAGUCUAAAAUAACCAAUCUAAACCACCUAAAUAAGCUAAACAACCUAAAACUAAUUAUCUCAACCAAGCUAAACUGAACAACUUAAACCGAAUGACAUAAGCCAGCCUCAAACAAAACACUGAAAACAACCUCAAUGAAAACCACUUUAAACAUCCCACCUAAAACAACCAACCUUAAUUACCAACCUAGUACUCCAGACAGCAAACAUCCUCAACCAAAAACUACCUAAACUAGCCAGUCUUAACCAACCAGCCUUCAAGAACCAGCCUCUAACAACCUACCUCAGAAGAACAACCUCCAACAACUUCAACAACCUCAACCAAGAUCCCUAGACCAGAACACUAAAACCAAACUCCAGCAACCAACACUAAAGAACCUUCCUAAAACAACAGCAGCCUAACAGCCUUAUCAAAACAAGAAAUACCAAAACACCUAAACCAAGCAACAGAAAUUAACCUUAUAAUGACAACAAACAUCUGGCUGUAUGGCUGUUUGCAAAGAGUUGUCUUGAUUGGAGUCAAGUCUAGUUGGCAGCUGGUUACGAGUGGUGUUCCCCCGUGCCCAGUACUGGGGCCAGUUCUGUUUAAUUUCUUAAUCAAUGAUUUGGAUGAGGGGAUUUAGUGCGCUCUUAGUAUGUUUUCAGAUGACACCAGAUUGGGUGGGAGUGUCUAUUUUCUGGAGGUUAUGAUGGCUGUAAAGAAGGAUCUGGUUUGGCUGGAUGGUUUGUCUGAGGCCAAUUGUAUGAGGUUUAACAAGGCAAAUUACCAGGUUCCACACUUGGGUCACAGUCUUGGGGAAGAGUGGCUGGAAAGCUGCCUGACAGAAAGGGAUCUGGGGGGUGUUGUUUGACAGCCAGCUGAACAUGAGCCAACAUUGUGGCCAGGUGGCCAAAAAGGCCAAAGCAUCCUGGCUUGCAUCAGGAAUAGUGUGGCCAGCAGGACUAGAGUGGUGAUUGUGCCACUGUAUUCACCACUGGCAAAGCCUCUCAUAAGAAGGACAUUGAAGUAAUAGAGAGAGUGCAGAGGAGGGUGAUGAAGCUGGUGAGGGGUCUCGAGCACAAGUCUGAUGAGGAGUGGCCAAGGGAGCUGGGGCUGUUCAGCCUGGAGAAAAGGAGGCUGAGGGAAGACCUCAUCACUGUCUUCAACUACCUGAAAGGAGGUUGUAGCAUGGAGGGUGUUGGUCUCUUCUCCCAAGUAGCAAGUGAUAGGAUGAGAGGAAAUCGCUUCAAGUUGCACCAGAGGAGGUUUAGAUUGGAUAUUUUGAAAAAAUUCUUUAUGGAAAGGGUUAUCAGGCAUUGGAACAGGCUGCCCAGAGAAGUGGUGGAGUCACCAUCCCUGGAUGUGUUUAAAAGGUGUUUAGAUGAGGUUCUUAAGAACAUGGUUUAGUGCUAGAGUUAGGUUAUGUUAUGGUUGGACCUGAUGAUCCUGAGGGGCUCUUCCAACUGAAAUUAUUUUAUGAUUCUAUGAAUCUAAUGUGACUGCACAGAGCUGAAGUAGUUGCAGAUGAGGAUCUGGAAUUUCAGAGGUGAGAGCCUAUUUUGUAUAUUUGAACAACUACAUGAUACCAUUUGGAAAACAUUUUCCUGUGCUUGCCUCCAUGUCUUCUUGAAAUAUCCUUGCCUCGUUUAGGUGAGGUUCUCAUUUAGUAAGUUUUGUGGCACUGAUCUAUAGCUGCUCUGACUUCUGUACAGCCUGCAUUUGCCGCAGUGAGCAUGCACCUACACGUUGACCUUCAUCCCCAACUAAGCCAAACUAAAAUAAAAUCUCCAGACUUCCAGCCGAGCUGUGUGUUUUCACUUCAUUUAUCCUUACUCUGUGUUGUGCUUUACCUCCAUCAUUAACAGCUCCACGUCUGCUGCAUUUCACAAUGUUUGAACAGAGGUGGCAACCAAGCCUCUUACUUCCACAUUUACUAGAAGAUGACAGGAGAUUUCUGAUAAACUUGCGAUGUGCAAUGAGAAAGAAAUAUAGUUGAGGAGAAGAACAUCCUGGAAGACAUUCCUUUUCAUGGUCUAUCAGAGUGUGAGGAGCCAAGGCAGAGAACUCAGCAGAGUCAUAUGCAAAUCACUUUGUCACUUAGAGACUGAAUUACUUAAUGACAAAGUUCUUCCUGCCAUAUUCUGAUAAUUUUUUGCCUUCAUGUUGGCUCUAAUCAGUAACUUCACUUGGAAGUUGUUUACAUGAAGUAUUGUUCUUGUGUCACUUACCAGACAGCGAUACCUUGCUAGGUGAGCAAGAGAGAGUCGCCUCUUAUGCACUUUGUUCAGUGAUCUGGCUAAAUGCAUGUCUGUGAUACUUAGGCAUUGCUGGUACAAGGCUCAGGUGCAUUAGUUAGGCAUUCAUUACCUGGUCACAGGGUCAUCGAUGAUCAUAUACUAAUAAUACUAAGUGCAAAAAGGACAAAUAUGGUUGGAAGGUGUGUCAGGAGAAAGGUUGCCAGCUUGGAGAAAUUCCAUUUUCUGGAGUACCGUGUGAAGCAUUUCGUGAGUGUUCAUUAAAAAUGUAUUCAUGAUGGAAAAGAUGAGAAGAAGGGUUUGUAGGAACAGAGAACCUAUCUUAGGAGAGUGCAAAAGUGCUCUCCUUGUUUUGCUCAGCAAAAUGAUACCUGGGGAGGCGCAUGAGUGGGAGAAAGAUGAAUUGUUCAAAGAAAAUGCUGGCCUCACACCAUGAUGGACAGUCUGCAGCUGGACCAGUAGAACUAGCUGAACUGUCUGUAAGAAGAAGAUGGGCAAAUUCAUUCAAAUGUUUAAAUGAUGUGGUGCCUGCAAUGAUAUAAGUUUGGUCUCAGUAACCUGGGAGAUUCUCUCCAGACCAAUCUUCUGACUGUCCAUGAGGGAGUGGAGUGUUUACUGAUGUGGUGGUAUAAUCCAAUAAUUUUUUCUAACUAACAUCUAGAUGAAAAAGAGAGGUGUUGUGUAAGGUUUUUUUGGGGGGUGGUGUUUUUUCACUCUUUUUUUUUUUUUUUUCUUCCUUCUGUCUUUCAUAACUUUCCUGUUCACUGCUGUUGUUUACCCUCACUUCCUCAUUAUGGUCUGGAGUAGCCUUAACAUCUCGCUGGGCUAUUUUAUCUGACCAUUACAAAUUCUUAACAGUUAUUGUACUGUAUUAUAUGUUGUCUUAAAUUGUCAUUUGCUACCUGACUUGACAAUUCUGAUUAGUUGUGGGUUUUGUUUGUUUGUUUGUGUUUUUUUGUUUUUGUUUGGGUUUUUUUUCCCCUCUCAUCACUGCUUCGAUACUUUCUUGGGAUGUUUAAAACUAAAUCCUCCCAAAAUGCUACCCACCCUUUCCCCCCAAAUGUACAGAUCCUACAAAUUCAAAGAGGGUAAGCAUUGUUCACUUUUUCUUUUCAUUAUCUUUCUGUUCUUUUUUAAAAACCAAUUAUGUUAAAGAAAAAUAUAAGACAAAGUAAAAAAAUGUGGUCCCAUUUUAAUCUUAAUCUUAAUCAUGUCUGUUAGUGUCUUAUGACAAAAUGCAGUUUGCAGCAGCCUUCCUCCUGUUAGCCUUACAGCACUUGGACAACCAGAGGAGUGUUCCAGGGAAACUGGACACUGUCUUGGAGCUACUAAAUACAAAAUACACCAGCAUCCAGUUAAGAAAGUCCUCUGAGUGGGAGCCUGGGACAGCAUUACAGGGAGGUGUUGUACAUUGGAAUACUGAAGCUUUGUUCUGACUCUUGGGCAUCUGUGUUUGCAGCUGGACACGUGGCAUAGAUUUAGACAGGACUUGUCUGACCCAGUACGGUGGUUCUCCUGUCGGCUGGGGAGGUGACUGUCUCCACGUUGAGCUGUGUCACAGAACAAAUUCUGAAAGCAGCAGCUGAUCAGUAGAAAACUGGUCUCUUUUUCUUAAAAAGCAAAAAAAAAGUAAUCAGGAAGGACUUUACUAUUGGUGAUAAAAUAGGCACUUAGGGAAAACAGAAAACAAAUCCCACAAAAAACCACAAACAAAACAACAACAAAAAGACACCAAAAAAUAAUCUAAAAAACUUGCACAAAAUAACUUGCAGAAUGACACUAGAAAUUAUAUUUACAUUGUACUGCAAAACAUGUAUUCUUCAGUGUUAACUUACUGUACUUCUAGUAGUCCUUCUUUUCCACAUCUUCCUUUUCUGAACAUAACUUGUUCAUUUAUCGUCUACGGAGUUUUCUCAACUUGUCUCCUUUAUGUGGAAGUGAAAGGGGAUGAUAAAGUAUCUUAUGACAAUUCUCCUACUCUUGUAAUAUAUCAGAGUUCAGAGUUUGUUGGAAAUUCUCCACAAAUUUUUUUUUGGGGGGUGGGUUCUAGAGAAAAGAAUAAAAGAUGGCAAAAUAUAUUAGUUGAAUGGGCCUGGACAUCACGGACAUUCUAAGCUGAUUUUAUUGUGUUGUUCCUCAUAUAUUGGGUCGGCUUAGGGAAGCUGAGAACUGGCUUGGAAAGUACAGUGUUGUCUAAGGUAGAUUUCUUCUGAAGGUUAUCAGUACAUCAUUGCAGACAUAGAGUUUGGGUUGAAGGACACAAAUCUCUUUACCAGUUAGUGUGAAACUAAAGACUUAGUUUGACUAUCAGCUGAGUGCUGUCUCUGUCCAUAUUGACAAUGUCUUGAAUUAUUACUUUCUUGGGAGGCUUUUUUCUUAAUAUAUUUGCAAAUUCUAGAAUCUUUGCUCAAGGUUGGACACUGUCUAAUAUUUAGAUAACGGAGUGAACUAAAGCAACUCAUGUCACUGACUAAUCUAUAUGCUCUUUGUGCAGGAUUCUUUGUAACAAUUAGCUUAUACUCUCUAUUCUUGCUUUCUCCUUUAAUUUUAUGGUCUCUGAACCCUCUUUUUUUUUUUUUUCACUAUGUUGUCAUCAGGGUCACUACUACCAUGCAAUUCAGAAUUCUAUUUUAAAAAAUGAAUACUGAUGACCAGCUAAUACAUCAAAGAAUGCUGAUGAAAAUAUUUUUUCCAUAAUUGACAUCAACAAUUUUAUGUGUCUUCCUCUUUAAUACUAAACAUAUGGAAU
Molecule: long non-coding RNA, 11576 nt
Organism: Columba livia (rock pigeon)
Lineage: Eukaryota; Metazoa; Chordata; Aves; Columbiformes; Columbidae
Exons: 4
Source: RefSeq, a predicted model, not a curated record